This 407-nucleotide ribosomal RNA is filed under the name uncultured bacterium. Its description in RNAcentral is "partial 16S ribosomal RNA". It matches the Rfam family "Bacterial small subunit ribosomal RNA", at positions 30 to 526 of the family's 1533-position model. The record is from RNAcentral.
AUUGAACGCUGGCGGCAGGCCUAACACAUGCAAGUCGAGCGGAGCGGCGGACGGGUGAGUAAUGCCUAGGAAUCUGCCUGGUAGUGGGGGAUAACGUCCGGAAACGGGCGCUAAUACCGCAUACUAUCAGAUGAGCCUAGGUCGGAUUAGCUAGUUGGUGGGGUAAAGUCCUAACAAGGCGACGAUCCUUAACUGGUCUGAGCGGAUGAUCAGUCAAACUGGAACUGAGACACGGGCCAGACUCCUACGGGAGGCAGAAGGGGGGAAUAGUGGACAAUGGGCGAAAGCCUGAUCCAGCCAGGCCGCGUGUUUGAAGAAGGUCUUCGGAUUGUAAAGCACUUUAAGUUGGGAGGCGUUACCAACAGAAUAAGCACCGGCUAACUUCGUGCCAGCAGCCGCGGUAAGUC